RNAcentral lists this small nucleolar RNA (65 nucleotides) under Carlito syrichta (Philippine tarsier). RNAcentral's name for it is "Small nucleolar RNA SNORD58 (ENSTSYG00000025808.1)". It matches the Rfam family "Small nucleolar RNA SNORD58". Rfam says of the family: snoRNA U58 is found in introns 1, 3 and 6 of the ribosomal protein RPL17 gene in humans. Lineage: Eukaryota; Metazoa; Chordata; Mammalia; Primates; Tarsiidae. The record is from Rfam by way of RNAcentral.
CUGCAGUGAUGGCUUCCUCAGGACACCUUUGGACAAGCCAUGACAACAACCAUGCUCUGAGCAGC